Non-coding RNA from Mycena maculata, 97 nucleotides. The record is from the annotation of a GenBank genome assembly. NCBI's taxonomy places the organism in Eukaryota, Fungi, Basidiomycota, Agaricomycetes, Agaricales, Mycenaceae.
GACCCCUUAGCUCAGUGGUAGAGCGUUGCAUUCCAGUUUCAUCUCGUUAAUGAGUGUUGUGUCGCAAAGGCCGUCCGUUCGAUCCGGGCAGGGGUCA